AGCCGGUCCAAAGGCAGUGAGUUAUCUCAGUUGAUUGUUUACAGUCAGUUACAGAUUGAACUCCUUGUUCUACUACUUUCCUCCCUUCUCACUACUUCAUUUGAAUAGUCUUAA
Unclassified non-coding RNA from Microcebus murinus (gray mouse lemur), 114 nucleotides. It matches the Rfam family "Y RNA". From Rfam's summary of the family: Y RNAs are components of the Ro ribonucleoprotein particle (Ro RNP), in association with Ro60 and La proteins. The Y RNAs and Ro60 and La proteins are well conserved, but the function of the Ro RNP is not known. In humans the RNA component can be one of four small RNAs -- hY1, hY3, hY4 and hY5. The record is from Ensembl. Lineage: Eukaryota; Metazoa; Chordata; Mammalia; Primates; Cheirogaleidae.